Long non-coding RNA from Bombus terrestris (buff-tailed bumblebee), 1693 nucleotides. RefSeq lists it as uncharacterized. The record is from RefSeq and is a predicted model, not a curated record. The transcript is spliced from 2 exons. NCBI's taxonomy places the organism in Eukaryota, Metazoa, Arthropoda, Insecta, Hymenoptera, Apidae.
AUUUGUAAAACGAAUAUCGAUGUUACGCCACAUGUCUCUGUCAUGUCAGUGACGUUUGGACAUUCCCAUCUGAUGGAAUUAUUUAUACGAUAUUUGUUGUUUGAUAUAAUCAACCGCUGCGGACGAACUUAUUCAUCAGGAAAUACUAAAUCACUGCAUACAAUCAAUAAUUUCGAGAAUUACUUAGAGCGAUAAUUAAUAUUUCAUGUUUCGAGAAUUACUGAUUAGGUAACAAUGUAUUUCAAAGCUCUUACUUUUUUAAAUGGUAAAGUGCAAAAAUAAAGAUAAAUUGUAUCAUAGUUUUUUGUAACAUUAAUGCGUUCGUAGUUUCAAAUGAAAAUAUAGCGGUGGCUAGGUUAAAUUUAUCCUUGUGUUAAGUUACCCUUUAUGACAAUUUGGUGCAAUCGAAAUAAAUGCUAUGUUAUCCGUGAUACAUCUCGAACUUUUAUAAUGCAUAUAUAAAAUGAAAUGUUAUAUAAAUACAACUUUUGAUCCCUAAUGGGUUAACUAUUCUACCAAUUAUUUCCUUUUUCAUGUUCAACCUUUCGCAAGCGAAAUAUGAGAUAAACUGUCACAGAAUCAACAUUCUAUUCACGGGUAGAAUAUCGAUAACAAACCAUAAAUUAUACCGUGACAAACUGCACAAUCAUCGUACCGAGUUAUCAAGUUUUCAAGUUAUCGAGCGUAGCAGUAGAACCGUCAUAAAUCAGAAAGGGGAGAAACAACGAUCCUUACACAUGGGAUCCUUACACUGGUCAAUAAUGCGUGUAAAUUUUUGUUUUACAGAAUGUUCAAGAAUUAUCAAGCGAAAUCUAUAGUUCCACGUGGACAGCUACAAAGCUCAAGGCCCGAUGAAAAAUGCAUGAGGAUUUUCUCACGCAUCUAUUGGGACAUGUUGGCGAAAAACCAAGCGGCUUUACUAAACCCUAUCUUCGAUACAUGGUAACGUAUUGCAUGUAGCGUACGCGAUGUAACUAGAUUUUCUAGUGACACAUCUAUGGUCUUCCUUGAAAUACCAACCGAAUGUUCGCGUGCCGAUCUCCUAUCUAAAACGGGAAAUCGUGUAUGCGUGACUGCUCAGAAUGGAGCUCACUGACAUGGUAUGUUAAAAUCGACCAAUAGAUAACAUAAUUAUGCUUAGGAUGUCAAGAAAAAAAGGAUCGAUAGAAAUAUUGUCACUUAAGGAUAUGAAACUUCGAUCGUAUUAAUUGUACUGGUAUGUACACAUCAUUCAGAGACUUAGGCUGUUAUUUCUGCUCGAAUGACGUUUUUCGUGUCAUAAACAUGAAUUUUAUAAAAAUUGAAGCCCAUAGAAUUCUCGCGUACUCGUAAAUAUAGGCGAGUAGUAGCAAUACAUAAUAAAUCAGACGGUGUUUUAAAUUUCACUCAACUUCAAAUAAAUAUUGAAAAAGCAUAUCGUUUUGAUGGACAGAUCUUUUUUCAUUAAAAUAAAGAGUUAUGAGUCUAUAUUUCAAAUUUCAGAAGAACAAUGUUGUAUGAUACUGCAUACUUUGAUUAUUCAGCAGCAAGGUGUCAUUGGUCCCCACACAGAUCGAUAUAGUAUGAUUUAUUAACAAGCUUCGAUGAUGUUCGACUAGAAUUAUACAUUACAGGUCAGCUAUAUUGGCCAUAUUCGAAAAGGUAAAUUUCAUUCAAAAUAACUAUUCUUAAAUAAAAAAAAAAAAAAAAAACA